UCUCCGUUGGUGAACCAGCGGAGGGAUCAUUACCGAGUUUACAACUCCCAAACCCCAAUGUGAACGUUACCAAUCCGUUGCCUCGGCGGGUUAAACUCUUCUGCCCCGGGCGCGUCGCAGCCCCGGACCAAGGCGCCCGCCGGAGGACCAACUCGCAAACUCUUCUUGUAUCAUCCCAUCGCGGAUUUUCUAACGACUUCUGAGCUUUCUCGGCGCCCCUAGCGGGCGUUCCGAAAACGAAUCAAAACUUUCAACAACGGAUCUCUUGGUUCUGGUAUCGAUGAAGAACGCAGC
RNAcentral lists this unclassified non-coding RNA (294 nucleotides) under plant metagenome. Its description in RNAcentral is "partial contains small subunit ribosomal RNA, internal transcribed spacer 1, and 5.8S ribosomal RNA". The stretch from base 246 to 294 matches the Rfam family "5.8S ribosomal RNA", at positions 1 to 49 of the family's 154-position model. The record is from RNAcentral.